Molecule: ribosomal RNA, 264 nt
Filed under: uncultured archaeon
Lineage: Archaea
Description: partial 16S ribosomal RNA
Rfam family: Archaeal small subunit ribosomal RNA
Source: RNAcentral
AGACGUCUACAUUAGAUACCCCCGUAGUCCCAGCCGUAAACUAUGCGCGUUAGGUGUAUCGGUGACCACGAGUUACCGAGGUGCCGAAGGGAACCGUGAAACGUGCCGCCUGGGAAGUACGGUCGCAAGGCUGAAACUUAAAGGAAUUGGCGGGGGAGCACAACAACGGGUGGAGCCUGCGGUUUAAUUGGACUCAACGCCGGACAACUCACCGGGAACGACAGCAAUAUGUAGGCCAGGCUGAAGACCUUGCCUGAAUCGCUG